Molecule: long non-coding RNA, 596 nt
Filed under: Populus tremula
Lineage: Eukaryota; Viridiplantae; Streptophyta; Magnoliopsida; Malpighiales; Salicaceae
Description: long non-coding RNA (PTRE_LNC001562)
Source: RNAcentral
CUUUUUCUGGUUCUUGUGCACGCACAUAACCUUUUGCAAGAAUGCUGUAUGCAUGCGCAUCAGGUUCUAUGCCCGCCUUCACCAUAUCAUCAAAGAUUUCCCUGCACUUCUCCAUAAAUCCUGCAGUGCUCCACGCAUUCAUGAUGGUACUGAAUGUUAUGACAUCUGGUUUUACUCCAAAUUCUUCCAUCAAGUUGAGAACCUGCAAAUAACGUACAAUGGCUAAAUCCAAUACACAACUGAACCAGAUCUUUCUACCUAACACAUGACAUUGCUCAUGAUUUCUGAAACAGGCUUGUUGUGUAGCCAUGCAAACUCACACACCAUAAUUUCACUCCUACAUACAGUGGCCUCAUUGCUAGCUCUAAUAGAAUAUAUCGUGAACCGGUGAAUGAAUGAAUAGCAGGUGAGUGCAUGCUUGGAAAAAUAACUGUUGCAAUCAACAGCAAACAGCUUUAUGAUGCUAAAAGCUUAAAAAUUUUUUAUUGCAGCUAUAUUAAACUUGUAGCUGUUUUAAUCACCACCAAGGAGCAGUGUCAUUGAAGGUAAUCACAAUAUCUCUCAAAUGAACAUUAACCAUUGGUCAGAGCUCACCU